AAAGAGCUCGUAGGUGGUUUGUCGCGUUGUCCGUGAAAUUCCCUGGCUUAACUGGGGGCGUGCGGGCGAUACGGGCAGACUGGAGUACUGCAGGGGAGACUGGAAUUCCUGGUGUAGCGGUGGAAUGCGCAGAUAUCAGGAGGAACACCGGUGGCGAAGGCGGGUCUCUGGGCAGUAACUGACGCUGAGGAGCGAAAGCGUGGGGAGCGAACAGGAUUAGAUACCCGAGU
Molecule: ribosomal RNA, 230 nt
Filed under: uncultured bacterium
Lineage: Bacteria
Description: partial 16S ribosomal RNA
Rfam family: Bacterial small subunit ribosomal RNA
Source: RNAcentral